GUGUGUGUGUGUGUGUGUGUGUGUGUGUGUGUGUGUAGGAGCUGACGAAGAGAGAGGUGGUUAACGUCACACACCUGGUGAUCUCUGCCGAGCUUGGCUCUUUACUGCAGGCUGCAUCAGGUGGCAGAGAGCUCCAUUCUGAGUGUCUAGCUCUGGUCCAGGCACCACACAUCCAGGAGCAGAACCAGCUGACUCUGCCGCUGGACAUCAACGACUACCCCUUCAGCCGCUACGCACAACUCUACUUCAGGGAGCCUAUGUUUGGGAUGCUAA
This is a long non-coding RNA of Oncorhynchus tshawytscha (Chinook salmon), 273 nucleotides long. RefSeq lists it as uncharacterized. The record is from RefSeq and is a predicted model, not a curated record. Lineage: Eukaryota; Metazoa; Chordata; Actinopteri; Salmoniformes; Salmonidae. The transcript has 3 exons.